CCUACGGGCGGCUGCAGUGAGGAAUAUUGGUCAAUGGUCGGGAGACUGAACCAGCCAAGCCGCGUGAGGGAUGAAGGUACAGAGUAUCGUAAACCUCUUUUGUCAGGGAACAAAGGCGGGGACGUGUCCCCGGCUGAGUGUACCUUACGAAAAAGCAUCGGCUAACUCCGUGCCAGCAGCCGCGGUAAAACGGAGGAUGCGAGCGUUAUCCGGAUUUAUUGGGUUUAAAGGGUGCGCCGGGGUUCUGUUAAGUCAGCGGUAAAAGCCCGGGGCCUAACCCCGGCCCGCCGUUGAAACUGGCAGUCUCGAGUUGGAGAGAAGUAUGCGGAAUGCGCGGUGUAGCGGUGAAAUGCAUAGAUAUCGCGCAGAACUCCGAUUGCGAAGGCAGCAUGCCGGCUCCACACUGACGCUGAGGCACGAAAGCGUGGGUAUCGAACAGGAUUAGAUACCCGGGUAGUC
Molecule: ribosomal RNA, 459 nt
Filed under: uncultured bacterium
Lineage: Bacteria
Description: partial 16S ribosomal RNA
Rfam family: Bacterial small subunit ribosomal RNA
Source: RNAcentral